Molecule: transfer RNA, 64 nt
Filed under: Cavia porcellus (domestic guinea pig)
Lineage: Eukaryota; Metazoa; Chordata; Mammalia; Rodentia; Caviidae
Rfam family: tRNA
About the family: Transfer RNA (tRNA) molecules are approximately 80 nucleotides in length. Their secondary structure includes four short double-helical elements and three loops (D, anti-codon, and T loops). Further hydrogen bonds mediate the characteristic L-shaped molecular structure. tRNAs have two regions of fundamental functional importance: the anti-codon, which is responsible for specific mRNA codon recognition, and the 3' end, to which the tRNAs corresponding amino acid is attached (by aminoacyl-tRNA synthetases). tRNAs cope with the degeneracy of the genetic code in two manners: having more than one tRNA (with a specific anti-codon) for a particular amino acid; and 'wobble' base-pairing, i.e. permitting non-standard base-pairing at the 3rd anti-codon position.
Source: Rfam by way of RNAcentral
GGGGAUUUAGCUCAGUGGUGUGAGCGCCUGCUUAGCAAGCACAAGGUUGUGAGUUCAAUCCCUG